AUACCUUUCUCGGCUUUUUUUAUUAAGAUCAAGUGUAGUAUUUGUUUUUAUCAGUUUAAUAUUUGAUAUGUGAGCCAUUUGCUCAUUUUGAUAUUAAAUUUAUUUUUUUGGGGGAGGGCUCACCACAGUAGCUUCGAGCGUCUCCGGGGCGUUGCACUGCUGCCCGUGCCCGGGCCUGGCGCGCCCCAA
Panicum virgatum (switchgrass) is the source of this 189-nucleotide small nuclear RNA. RefSeq annotates it as U2 spliceosomal RNA. The transcript has a single exon. Lineage: Eukaryota; Viridiplantae; Streptophyta; Magnoliopsida; Poales; Poaceae. The record is from RefSeq and is a predicted model, not a curated record.